GGGGAGAUGGCCGAGUGGUUAAAGGCGACAGACUGUAAAUCUGUUCUCUUACGAGUACGGCGGUUCGAAACCGUCUCUCCCCA
Molecule: transfer RNA, 83 nt
Filed under: Spirochaetota bacterium
Lineage: Bacteria; Pseudomonadati; Spirochaetota
Description: Spirochaetes bacterium (wastewater metagenome) tRNA-Tyr
Rfam family: tRNA
About the family: Transfer RNA (tRNA) molecules are approximately 80 nucleotides in length.
Source: RNAcentral